Molecule: ribosomal RNA, 470 nt
Filed under: uncultured bacterium
Lineage: Bacteria
Description: bacterial SSU rRNA
Rfam family: Bacterial small subunit ribosomal RNA
Source: RNAcentral
CGGUAAUACGUAGGGUGCGAGCGUUAAUCGGAAUUACUGGGCGUAAAGCGAGCGCAGACGGUUACUUAAGCAGGAUGUGAAAUCCCCGGGCUCAACCUGGGAACUGCGUUCUGAACUGGGUGACUAGAGUGUGUCAGAGGGAGGUAGAAUUCCACGUGUAGCAGUGAAAUGCGUAGAGAUGUGGAGGAAUACCGAUGGCGAAGGCAGCCUCCUGGGAUAACACUGACGUUCAUGCUCGAAAGCGUGGGUAGCAAACAGGAUUAGAUACCCUGGUAGUCCACGCCCUAAACGAUGUCAAUUAGCUGUUGGGCAACUUGAUUGCUUAGUAGCGUAGCUAACGCGUGAAAUUGACCGCCUGGGGAGUACGGUCGCAAGAUUAAAACUCAAAGGAAUUGACGGGGACCCGCACAAGCGGUGGAUGAUGUGGAUUAAUUCGAUGCAACGCGAAGAACCUUACCUGGUCUUGACAU